RNAcentral lists this unclassified non-coding RNA (221 nucleotides) under fungal sp. RNAcentral describes it as "partial internal transcribed spacer region". The stretch from base 1 to 46 matches the Rfam family "Eukaryotic small subunit ribosomal RNA", at positions 1786 to 1831 of the family's 1831-position model. Lineage: Eukaryota; Fungi. The record is from RNAcentral.
AAGUCGUAACAAGGUUUCCGUAGGUGAACCUGCGGAAGGAUCAUUAACAAAUUCAAACACUGACGUCCCACUUGACUGCUUUUACGCUGGUUCUCAAAAGGAGCCACGUAAGGGGGUAGUCAAGUGGUGUACACAUAUCAUACACACCCUUUGAUUGACAACACCUAGUGAUUAUCUAGUUAAUUUGUAGACAACUUUUAACAAUGGAUCUCUUGGCUCUU